CCUACGGGUGGCAGCCGUGGGGAAUCUUGGACAAUGGGCGAAAGCCUGAUCCAGCCAUGCCGCGUGUGUGAAGAAGGCCUUCGGGUUGUAAAGCACUUUCAGUGGGGAAGAAAGCCUUGGGGCUAAUACCCUCGAGGAAGGACAUCACCCACAGAAGAAGCACCGGCUAACUCCGUGCCAGCAGCCGCGGUAAUACGGAGGGUGCGAGCGUUAAUCGGAAUUACUGGGCGUAAAGCGCGCGUAGGCGGUCUGAUAAGCCGGUUGUGAAAGCCCCGGGCUCAACCUGGGAACGGCAUCCGGAACUGUCAGGCUAGAGUGCAGGAGAGGAAGGUAGAAUUCCCGGUGUAGCGGGGAAAUGCGUAGAGAUCGGGAGGAAUACCAGUGGCGAAGGCGGCCUUCUGGACUGACACUGACGCUGAGGUGCGAAAGCGUGGGUAGCAAACAGGAUUAGAUACCCGAGUAGUC
Molecule: ribosomal RNA, 465 nt
Filed under: Vreelandella stevensii
Lineage: Bacteria; Pseudomonadati; Pseudomonadota; Gammaproteobacteria; Oceanospirillales; Halomonadaceae
Description: partial 16S ribosomal RNA
Rfam family: Bacterial small subunit ribosomal RNA
Source: RNAcentral